UACAGAGGGUGCGAGCGUUAAUCGGAAUUACUGGGCGUAAAGCGUGCGUAGACGGUAGCGUAAGUCAGAUGUGAAAGCCCCGGGCUCAACCUGGGAAUUGCAUUUGAGACUGCUCUGCUCGGGUGCGGAAGAGGGAAGCGGAAUUUCCGGUGUAGCGGUGAAAUGCGUAGAUAUCAGAAGGAACACCAGUGGCGAAAGCGGCUUCCUGGUCCGACACCGACGUUCAGGCACGAAAGCGUGGGGAGCAAACAGG
Molecule: ribosomal RNA, 253 nt
Filed under: uncultured bacterium
Lineage: Bacteria
Description: partial 16S ribosomal RNA
Rfam family: Bacterial small subunit ribosomal RNA
Source: RNAcentral